This 464-nucleotide ribosomal RNA is filed under the name uncultured bacterium. RNAcentral describes it as "partial 16S ribosomal RNA". It matches the Rfam family "Bacterial small subunit ribosomal RNA", at positions 28 to 507 of the family's 1533-position model. The record is from RNAcentral.
GAUGAACGCUGGCGGCGUGCUUAACACAUGCAAGUCGAACGGAAAGGCUCCUGCUUGCAGGGGUACUCGAGUGGCGAACGGGUGAGUAACACGUGGGUGAUCUGCCCUGCACUUCGGGAUAAGCCUGGGAAACUGGUCUAAUACCGGAUAGGACGAUGGUUUGGAUGCCAUUGUGGAAAGUUUUUCGGUGUGGGAUGAGCUCGCGGCCUAUCAGCUUGUUGGUGGGGUAAUGGCCUACCAAGGCGUCGACGGGUAGCCGGCCUGAGAGGGUGUACGGCCACAUUGGGACUGAGAUACGGCCCAGACUCCUACGGGAGGCAGCAGUGGGGAAUAUUGCACAAUGGGCGCAAGCCUGAUGCAGCGACGCCGCGUGGGGGAUGACGGCCUUCGGGUUGUAAACUCCUUUCGCUAGGGACGAAGCGCAAGUGACGGUACCUGGAGAAGAAGCACCGGCUAACUACGUG